UACGUAGGGGGCAAGCGUUGUCCGGAUUUAGUGGGCGUAAAGAGCGUGUAGGCGGCCAGAUAGGUCUGCUGUGAAAACUCGAGGCUCAACCUCGAGCUGUCGGCGGAAACCAUCUGGCUAGAGUCCGGAAGAGGAGAGUGGAAUUCCUGGUGUAGCGGUGAAAUGCGCAGAUAUCAGGAAGAACACCUAUGGCGAAGGCAGCUCUCUGGGACGGUACUGACGCUGAGACGCGAAAGCGUGGGGAGCGAACAGG
Molecule: ribosomal RNA, 253 nt
Filed under: uncultured bacterium
Lineage: Bacteria
Description: partial 16S ribosomal RNA
Rfam family: Bacterial small subunit ribosomal RNA
Source: RNAcentral